Molecule: ribosomal RNA, 432 nt
Filed under: uncultured bacterium
Lineage: Bacteria
Description: partial 16S ribosomal RNA
Rfam family: Bacterial small subunit ribosomal RNA
Source: RNAcentral
AACGAACGCUGGCGGCAUGCCUAACACAUGCAAGUCGAACGAGACCUUCGGGUCUAGUGGCGCACGGGUGCGUAACGCGUGGGAACCUGCCCUUAGGUUCGGAAUAACUCCCCGACAGGGGUGCUAAUACCGGAUAAUGUCUUCGGACCAAAGAUUUAUCGCCUUUGGCUGGGCCCGCGUUGGAUUAGCUAGUUGGUAGGGUAAAAGCCUACCAAGGCGACGAUCCAUAGCUGGUCUGAGAGGAUGAUCAGCCACACUGGGACUGAGACACGGCCCAGACGCCUAGGGGAGGCAGCAGUGGGGAAUAUUGGACAGUGGGCGAAAGCCUGAUCCAGCAAUGCCGCGUGAGUGAUGAAGGCCUUAGGGUUGUAAAGCUCUUUUACCCGGGAUGAUAAUGACAGUACCGGGAGAAUAAGCUCCGGCUAACUCCGU